This 460-nucleotide ribosomal RNA is filed under the name uncultured bacterium. RNAcentral describes it as "partial 16S ribosomal RNA". It matches the Rfam family "Bacterial small subunit ribosomal RNA", at positions 338 to 795 of the family's 1533-position model. The record is from RNAcentral.
CCUACGGGAGGCAGCAGUGAGGAAUAUUGGUCAAUGGACGCAAGUCUGAACCAGCCAUGCCGCGUGCAGGAAGACGGCUCUAUGAGUUGUAAACUGCUUUUGUACGAGGGUAAACGCAGAUACGCGUAUCUGUCUGAAAGUAUCGUACGAAUAAGGAUCGGCUAACUCCGUGCCAGCAGCCGCGGUAAUACGGAGGAUUCGAGCGUUAUCCGGAUUUAUUGGGUUUAAAGGGGGCGUAGACGGUCGGAUAAGUUAGAGGUGAAAUCCCGAGGCUCAACUUCGGAAUUGCCUCUGAUACUGUUAGGCUAGAGAGUAGUUGCGGUAGGCGGAAUGUAUGGUGUAGCGGUGAAAUGCUUAGAGAUCAUAAAGAACACCGAUUGCGAAGGCAGCUUACCAAGCUGCCUCUGACGUUGAGGCACGAAAGCGUGGGGAGCAAACAGGAUUAGAUACCCUGGUAGUC